RNAcentral lists this unclassified non-coding RNA (272 nucleotides) under Hevea brasiliensis (rubber tree). The record is from RNAcentral. Lineage: Eukaryota; Viridiplantae; Streptophyta; Magnoliopsida; Malpighiales; Euphorbiaceae.
UAAACCAUAUUUGAGUUGGGAUUAGUGAAAUGGGUCCAGCUUACCCUUGCCUCCUGCUUCUAACUUACAAGGAUAUGCUUUGAUGCAUAGUUUUGUUAACCUUUUCUAGGUGUUAAACUAAGUUCAGGGUUUUCAAGUUUUUGGAGAAAAGUAUCAUUUGCUCUAAGAAUAUGGGGUAAGAAAUGGAAUUGGAAGCCUCUGAUUCCCAGUUUUCCCACUGAAGUAGAAACUCUAAAUAAUUUUAAAUUUUUAAUUAAAGUGGUCAAAAAAAA